Molecule: ribosomal RNA, 253 nt
Filed under: uncultured bacterium
Lineage: Bacteria
Description: partial 16S ribosomal RNA
Rfam family: Bacterial small subunit ribosomal RNA
Source: RNAcentral
UACGUAGGGUGCUAGCGUUGUCCGGAAUCACUGGGCGUAAAGCGCGCGUAGGCGGCCCGGUAAGUCCGCUGUGAAAGUCAAAGGCUCAACCUUUGAAGGUCAGUGGAUACUGCCGGGCUAGAGUCCGGAAGAGGCGAGUGGAACUCCUGGUGUAGCGGUGAAAUGCGCAGAUAUCAGGAGGAACACCGGUGGCGAAGGCGGGUCGCUGGGCCGAAAUUGACGCUGAGGAGCGAAAGCGUGGGGAGCAAACAGG